UUGGCCUUGACAUACUAAGAACUUUCCAGAGAUGGAUUGGUGCCUUUCGGGAACUUAGAUACAGGUGCUGCAUGGCUGUCGUCAGCUCGUGUCGUGAGAUGUUGGGUUAAGUCCGCAACGAGCGCAACCCUUUUCCUUAUUUGCCAGCGGGUAAUGCCGGGAACUUUAAGGAUACUGCCAGUGACAAACUGGAGGAAGGCGGGGACGACGUCAAGUCAUCAUGGCCCUUACGGCCAGGGCUACACACGUGCUACAAUGGUCGGUACAAAGGGUUGCUACCUCGCGAGAGGAUGCUAAUCUCAAAAAGCCGAUCGUAGUCCGGAUCGCAGUCUGCAACUCGACUGCGUGAAGUCGGAAUCGCUAGUAAUCGCGGAUCAGAAUGCCGCGGUGAAUACGUUCCCGGGCCUUGUACACACCGCCCGUCACACCAUGGGAGUUUGUUGCACCAGAAGUAGGUAGUCUAACCGCAAGGAGGACGCUUACCACGGUGUGGCCGAUGACUGGGGUGAAGUCGUAACAAGGUAGGCGUAGAUGA
Molecule: ribosomal RNA, 535 nt
Filed under: uncultured bacterium
Lineage: Bacteria
Description: bacterial SSU rRNA
Rfam family: Bacterial small subunit ribosomal RNA
Source: RNAcentral